Long non-coding RNA from Gasterosteus aculeatus aculeatus (three-spined stickleback), 500 nucleotides. Lineage: Eukaryota; Metazoa; Chordata; Actinopteri; Perciformes; Gasterosteidae. The record is from Ensembl.
UCACACGGGAACCACGUCACAGGAAACCACGUCACACACAGGAAACCACGUCACAGGAAACCACGUCAGACAGGAAACCACGUCACAGGAAACCACGUCACACGGGAACCACGUCAGACAGGAAACCACGUUCACAGGAAACCACGUCACAGGAAACCACGUCACACGGGAACCACGUCACAGGAAACCACGUCACAGAAACCACGUCAGACAGGAAACCACGUCACAGGAAACCACGUCACACACAGGAAACACACAGGAAACCACGUCACAGGAAACCACGUCACAGGAAACCACGUCACACACAGGAAACCACGUCACACACAGGAAACCACGUUAGACGGAAACCACGUCACGGGAAACCACGUCACACAGAAACCACGCACAGGAAACCACGUCACACGGAAACCACGUCACACAGGAAACCACGUCACACGGGAAACCACGUCAGACGAAACCACGUCACACAGAAACCACGUCACACAGGAAACCACGUCACA